RNAcentral lists this long non-coding RNA (496 nucleotides) under Triticum aestivum (bread wheat). Its description in RNAcentral is "long non-coding RNA (TAES_LNC022763)". Lineage: Eukaryota; Viridiplantae; Streptophyta; Magnoliopsida; Poales; Poaceae. The record is from RNAcentral.
CAACAUUUUCUGUCUGCUCCUGUCAAGUUAUACAUGUAUGUGAGGAUCCUUCUAUGUAGUAAGUUCAUAGUCGAGAAGUCAGGGACUUCGUAAAGAACGUGAACACCGAAAAACCAUUAAAAAACCUAAACCAUUUGUUAGGGGAGUUCAAGAAGUUCAUGGCUAGCUCUCUGUGUUCUGUAUUCUUAUUAGUUCAUAAUCUAGAAUACAUGUAUUCUUAUCAGUUUGUUUAUCUAGCCCGUCGUGCUGUGUAUUCUGGUUAGUACGUGUGUGUAUGUGUUUCCCUUGCAGUGUAUGAGAGGCCGCCCGUGAGGAAGUUGCCAAUCUGGUCGAGGCAUGCUGCUAUUCUCUAUAUCCGGUAGCACAAACAUUUAAAAGUUUGAACACCAAACCCUGGUAAGUUCUUCUUAACAAAAACCCAUUCCUCAUAUUUGUUCCUUUUUUCGUAGGUUGAAGUUAAAACAAGAUGGAGAUGUGUGUAUGUAUACAUGUGUUU